GUAGGGAAUAUUGGGCAAUGGAUGCAAGUCUGACCCAGCCAUGCCGCGUGGAGGAAGAAGGUCCUCUGGAUUGUAAACUCCUUUUUUGGGGGAAGAAUAGUUCUCUUGCGAGGGAAUGUGACGGUACCCUAAGAAUAAGCCACGGCUAACUACGUGCCAGCAGCCGCGGUAAUACGUAGGUGGCAAGCGUUGUCCGGAUUUAUUGGGUUUAAAGGGUGCGUAGGUGGUUUGAUAAGUCAGUGGUGAAAGCUGGUUGCUCAACAAUCAAGUUGCCAUUGAUACUGUCGGACUUGAGAGAAGUGGAGGUUCAUGGAAUGGAUGGUGUAGCGGUGAAAUGCAUAGAUAUCAUCCAGAACGCCAAUUGCGAAGGCAGGUAACUGUACCUAUAUCGACGCUGAUGCACGAAAGCAUGGGUAGCGAACAGGAUUAGAAACCCCGGUAGUCC
This 445-nucleotide ribosomal RNA is filed under the name uncultured bacterium. RNAcentral's name for it is "partial 16S ribosomal RNA". It matches the Rfam family "Bacterial small subunit ribosomal RNA", at positions 354 to 796 of the family's 1533-position model. The record is from RNAcentral.